GACGAACGCUGGCGGCGCGCUUAACACAUGCAAGUCGAACGGAAAGGCCUGCUUUCCCUUGUGGAUUGCGGGUACUCGAGUGGCGAACGGGUGAGUAACACGUGAGUGAUCUGCCCCCAACUUGGGUAUAAGCCUGGGAAACUGGGUCUAAUUCCCGAUAGGACUGCAGGGUGGUGCCUGUGGUGGAAAACGAUUUUCUAGUGGUUGGGGAUGAGCUCGCGGCCUAUCAGCUUGUUGGUGGGGUAAUGGCCUACCAAGGCGGCGACGGGUAGCCGGCCUGAGGGGGUGGACGGGGACAUUGGGACUGAGAUGCGGCCCAGACUCCUACGGGAGGCAGCGGUGGGGAAUAUUGCACGAUGGGCGGAAGCCUGAUGCAGCGACGCCGCGUGGGGGAUGACGGCCUUCGGGUUGUAAGCUCCUUUCGACCGCGAGGAAGCCACCUGGUUGGGAGGGUGGUGACGGUAGUGGUAGAAGAAGCACCGGCUAACUACGUG
Molecule: ribosomal RNA, 494 nt
Filed under: uncultured bacterium
Lineage: Bacteria
Description: partial 16S ribosomal RNA
Rfam family: Bacterial small subunit ribosomal RNA
Source: RNAcentral